GGGUUGUGAGGUUAAGCGACUAAGCGUACACGGUGGAUGCCCUGGCAGUCAGAGGCGAUGAAGGGCGUGCUAAUCUGCGAUAAGCGCCGGUAAGGUGAUAUGAACCGUUAUAACCGGCGAUACCCGAAUGGGGAAACCCAGUGUGACUCGUCACACUAUCAUUAACUGAAUCCAUAGGUUAAUGAGGCGAACCGGGGGAACUGAAACAUCUAAGUACCCCGAGGAAAAGAAAUCAACCGAGAUUCCCCCAGUAGCGGCGAGCGAACGGGGAGGAGCCCAGAGCCUGAAUCAGCAUGUGUGUUAGUGGAAGCGUCUGGAAAGGCGCGCGAUACAGGGUGAUAGCCCCGUACACAAAAGCGCAUGUGUUGUGAGCUCGAUGAGUAGGGCGGGACACGUGGUAUCCUGUCUGAAUAUGGGGGGACCAUCCUCCAA
This 432-nucleotide ribosomal RNA is filed under the name Salmonella enterica. RNAcentral's name for it is "partial 23S ribosomal RNA". It matches the Rfam family "Bacterial large subunit ribosomal RNA", at positions 1 to 463 of the family's 2925-position model. The record is from RNAcentral. Lineage: Bacteria; Pseudomonadati; Pseudomonadota; Gammaproteobacteria; Enterobacterales; Enterobacteriaceae. RNAcentral also lists the same sequence under 1 other name.